This is an RNA transcript of Armigeres subalbatus, 935 nucleotides long. RefSeq lists it as uncharacterized. The transcript is spliced from 2 exons. The record is from RefSeq and is a predicted model, not a curated record. Lineage: Eukaryota; Metazoa; Arthropoda; Insecta; Diptera; Culicidae.
UGUCAUUUGACGUUUGUCGCUCGGACAAACGAACUGAGUCGAAGGGCUCGAGUAUAUAAUUAAUAAAACCAGAUAGUCAGUCUGUUCUGAAACCUCAACUGAAACAGUUUACUUUAUUUCACCGCUCUUGAUCGAGGAACCCCUUUAGUGAAGUACCCUUAUUCAUUUUAAGUAUCCUCUUUAAAAGUGGCGACAAGCAGAAGAACAUAACGCGUGUGCAAAAAGUGACUAAAAACCCACUAGUUUAUUGAUUGCGACGGUGCAAAUUGGAAGCGAAUAACCAUCGGAAACUACCAACCGCGCACAUCGUUGGUGUAGCCAUUAUUGUGUGCUGAACUAUCUCCUAACGCCGGCGAGAAUUAAGAUAUUGAGUUUAUUCUACAACCAAUCAUCCGAAACCCGCAGACGUCGCUGAAUCAUAUGCGUUGGAAACGUGGUGAUAAUGGCGCAAAGAUCACAGGUCAGGAUCUCUAAAGCAACAACUCAAUGGCGAGGGCCGAAUGUUUUGAUUACGAGGGAGGAGCGAGCCAGCGGAAUGAACGACGAUAUGAGUACCCCGGGAGACGAGCCGCCCACUGGCGAUGUGACGAGUAGCCCACUGGCCAGUGGCGAAGUGGAAGAGGAACAGGCUCGGGUGGUGGAGCUCCGAAGAUCGAAACGCCCUAGGAAAGAACACCGAAGUGCUGAUUAUCAUUAUGAUUGAAUUUUGGAAAUUUUCGGAUUAGAUUUAGUUUCUCAAUGAUUUGAAUUCGAUAUUUGUUCUUGAAUUGUUUGAACUCUCGUGGAUUUAUUUCGCGUUCCGAUUAUUGUUAUAACAUAGUAAAAGGGGGAGAAUUGUUAUAGUUACUUGCGCACCCCUAUGCGCUCUGAAAUGUCAUUUGACGUUUGUCGCUCGGACAAACGAACUGAGUCGAAGGGCUCGAGUAUAUAAUUAA